GAUGAACGCUGGCGGCGUGCCUAAUACAUGCAAGUCGAGCGAACAGACGAGGAGCUUGCUCCUCUGCCGUUAGCGGCGGACGGGUGAGUAACACGUGGAUAACCUACCUAUAAGACUGGGAUAACUUCGGGAAACCGGAGCUAAUACCGGAUAAUAUAUUGAACCGCAUGGUUCAAUAGUGAAAGACGGUUUUGCUGUCACUUAUAGAUGGAUCCGCGCCGCAUUAGCUAGUUGGUAAGGUAACGGCUUACCAAGGCGACGAUGCGUAGCCGACCUGAGAGGGGGAUAGGCAAAACUGGAACUGAGACACGUUCCGAACUCUAACGGGAGGCAGAGGGAGGGAAACUGCCGAAAUGGGCGAAAGCCUGACGGAGCAACGCCGCGGGAGUGAGGAAGGUCUUCGGUUCGUAAGACUCUGUUAUUAGGGAAGAACAAAUGUGUAAGUAACUAUGCACGUCUGGACGGUACCUAAUCAGAAAGCCGCGGCUAACUACGU
RNAcentral lists this ribosomal RNA (496 nucleotides) under uncultured bacterium. RNAcentral describes it as "partial 16S ribosomal RNA". It matches the Rfam family "Bacterial small subunit ribosomal RNA", at positions 28 to 506 of the family's 1533-position model. The record is from RNAcentral.